RNAcentral lists this small RNA (126 nucleotides) under Mycoplasmoides pneumoniae M129. RNAcentral describes it as "Mycoplasma pneumoniae M129 ncRNA". The stretch from base 24 to 109 matches the Rfam family "tRNA". Rfam says of the family: Transfer RNA (tRNA) molecules are approximately 80 nucleotides in length. The record is from RNAcentral. Lineage: Bacteria; Bacillati; Mycoplasmatota; Mycoplasmoidales; Mycoplasmoidaceae.
UUAAACGCUUCAAUAUCUGCCACUAAUACUUACCCAAAUGGUUUAAGGGGGCGCUUUCGAAAAGCGUUAGGUUUUUUUGCAUGCGUGGGUUCGAAUCCCACAUUCUUGGCCAAAAUAUUAACUGUA